RNAcentral lists this long non-coding RNA (15451 nucleotides) under Triticum aestivum (bread wheat). RNAcentral describes it as "long non-coding RNA (TAES_LNC000958)". The record is from RNAcentral. Lineage: Eukaryota; Viridiplantae; Streptophyta; Magnoliopsida; Poales; Poaceae.
GUAGGUAAAGCUUAUAUUCAGCAAGGUUUACGUCAAAUGAAAUGUUGGUCUUUACUGUUUAACAUUGUAUCUAGCAACCAAAUGCAAAUUCAGCAACAACCACAUUCACAUGACACAAAGUUUAAUAAUCUAGUGUCCAACAAGAACAGACUUUUGAUUUUCUGUCAUAAAUGAGAAACAUAGUGAUGUGUCACUGAAUUUUGUAAGACAUAUCGAUAAGAUUUACGCGGUUUUUGACUUUGCAAGCGCCUUCUUACGCUGCCCAAGCAUGUAGGUGUACAUAUGUGGGCUUCCUGUACCCAAAGUUAAUAUGGUAAGCGCACACACACUAGGUGCUAAUGAAUGAGACAUGAAUCGUCGGCGAGGACAGGAAAAGGUACCUGAACGUAGACUAGGAGUUGUUCGCACACGAACACGUCACCGUGUACCCUCGACGCCAGGGGUGAUGCACCGCAGCUCACGUCAAAGGAGACCCGUCCGGAAGCGCGGUACGCAGGCAAUCCGACGGGCGCUUUUGUUGACCCGAAACCCCACACGCCCGGGAGGGACCCCGUCAAGGCGCAUGGUGGCUAUGGGCUACCCUAGGUCGACCUGAUCGCCCCUAGGGCCUCGAGGUUCGCCGCCCUGCAACAAGAAGAACAGACGAAGAACGAGGAAGAAGAAGAACUAGGGUUAAGGAGAAAAAAUAAAAGAUAAAAAGUGAUAGAUGAUUUGUUCGAUUGUGUGUUGUUCAAUCGGCCGUCACCCCUUAGGUAUAUAAGAGGCGGCUGGACUUCCCGUGCAAGGAAGAGGCUUGGAUUCACGUCCAAAACCCUAGUCAAAUUUGGAUUGGUUUUGUCCGAACUUUUCAAAAUUGUUCGGUUUAAACUGGCUGCACCUUGCGGGUAAUUUUUGAGGUGGUAAACGACCUCGGAUGAAAACAAGCCCAAAAGCAAUCUUGAACAUUUCGACAAGAUGAACAACUUUCAUGUUGAACACUUUUAGAUCUGAGAUCAUCUUCAAUGGCUAAUUGCUCACGCAUUGUAUCAGACAUCCAUCAACAUGUGUCUGAUGUCCAGCGUAAUAUAUUGAUCCCUAGCUGGUCCGCACCAUAUUGACUGUAAUUUUUGCAUGCGAACUCGGAUUGAGAUGAUUUAUAUAUGAAAUCGAUCGCCUCGAUGAUACGGAGACAAUUCCUUUAGAGUGCUCCUUCAUCCGAGGCCAUCUUGAGGAUGUAAUCAGCCGAAUAGUGUUCUAGAUACAAAAUCUCAGUACUUCGAACACAACUUCGGCCUUAGAGAUGAGACCGGAUGGCUAUGACCCAAAUAUCAAAGUUUCUCCUUUUGACAAUAUGGAACUUCCUCAUUUUGAGCACUUUUCCAUUUAAGGCCUUCUUAAUUAUAUUUUCGAUCAUGCCAAAAUCUGGUGUCAACACAUGCCCCCCCUGUUUUUCGGCAAAACUUGUGUGCCGAAAAAUAGCUUGCAUGAAGUUUGUUCUAAGCGCGAUGUCAACACUUCAUCGGCCAUUUGUACGUGCUUAGGAUGAUAUGUAUAUAUCGGCCAUUUAGAUUAGCAACAAAGUGAAGCUAAUUGAACAUAUGAUGAUUUGCUAAUACCCUUUCAUGAUGUAAAAAAUUAUAUUGCAUGCAUGGAUUAAAAUAAGCCCAUUGAGGGUAACCAAUCAUACCUGAUGAAGAAUUCCAUGGCAUAUGCAUCAACGACAUAGUUGAAGAAUAUGGAUAAUGUGUGGACCGAAGAUGUUGAAACCUUUGGCUUGGUCCUUCAUAGUUUUCACUCUUUUUCUUCUUCAUCUUUGCCGCACUUCGUGUAAUGGAUGCUUUCACAUAAUUCUUAUUUUGAGUACUUCCUUUAGGAACCCAUGCCAUGUUCCUUUCUUCAAGUUCUUGUGCACUAAGUUUUCGUAAUUUCUUUUUUGUCAAUAUGAUAAGCCGAGUGAGCGCCCCGGCUGUGAUUUUGUUUGAACUAAUGACAAUUCUUGUUUUACCUUGUGCACUUUCAACUUCUUUUCUUCAGAUUUGACACUUUGAUUCUCGACAAUUGAUUGCUUCAUCUCAUUGCCUUUAGUAGCCAAUGUUAACACUUUAAUUGGCUCUUUAUCCUUUAAGAUCAAAUAUGAACUGGCACUCUUGCGACCAUCUUUUUUAACUCGAUAUACUUGUUUGAUCACCUCUUCCUUCUUUCUUGAGCUCCGGACCGAUUCUUUCUUAUUGAAACGGUCUUGAACAUAUGACAGCUCACUGGACGUUGAUCUUCUUGGAGCUGCAUAACAAUGGUGAGAUGGUCUAAAAUAUGAUGGGGAAUGUGCCAUUGUAUCAUACCUGUCCCAUGAUGAAUAUCGAUCUACAUGAGCAUAGGGAGGCAUCUACGACAUUGGCAUUGGCGGCCCAAAAUAUGGAUAUGAACACGUUGCAUUAAAAUUCUCUUCUUGCCAAUACCGAUUCUUGGAUUUGCGCAUAGGGGGUGAUCUUGAUGCUUUUGUAUUAGUUGGUCGAUAAGCACAGUUCUCCUCACUUAUCUUCUGAUAUUUUUCCAAUAGUUGCGCGAACGUGACUUUCGGCUUCUUACCUUUUUGCUUACGUCGGCCUUUGUUUUCUUUGGUUGUGCUUGCACCGGUCUUUAGAUUUUCUUGUUGCCCCCCAGUCCUUGGCGUCUCCAUUGUAGCUUCGAUGUAAUUCUCGCCCUCAAGAUUAUGUUCAUUAUAUAUGCUCUUUAACAACUUCUUUACUUGAAAGCUUGAUCCCAUGACCUGCAGUUUUUACUUUCUCUUUAAAUGGAUCACCUUGAAUCAGCCGAUGCAAAAACCUUUUACCAUCGGGACCAAUUGGAAUAGACUCGUUAUCUCUUGGUGUCUCAACAAAUUUCAAUCGUCCUUUAUCAAUGGCCGAUUUAACUAUUUGACGAAACUGCAAUCCUCAAUACUAUGCUUGAAUGAAUCAUGCAACUUACAAUAAAUUCGUCCUUGGAUAGAUGGCUUGACAUGGUGAUCAAGAAUUCUAAUGUAAUUAUUUUUCAACAACAAAUCAAAGAUUUGAUCGCACAUGUUUGAAUCGAAGGUAUACGUUUUGUUUUUUAGCCGAUUUUGGUGUGCGAACGGCUUUGGAAGUAAGCAAACGAAUGGUUCAGAUUUAGAAUCUCCCCAUUCGGCUAUGCAUUGUGUUUUACACCCUAUCUCCGAUGUAUUUGGAUAAGAUAUUAUAUUAGCAUCGGAUUUCUCAAAAGAAUUUGACCUUGGCUUUAAAUUUCUGAAACGAAAAUAGUUAGAAUACACAUGUCUCAAUUGAGACCAAGUGCAAGCCAAGUAAGAAACAAGCAAAGCUACCCAAUUAGAUAUGAAAUUUUGAUAAAGCAAUGGGGAAAACUUUGGCUGCAAUAAUAGGUCACUAUCGGUCUUUAUAAAUGGCACAAUAGAUUGACCGAUAUGUUCUAUAACAGUUUUAUUGCUAACAAGUAAAUUUCCCUUCGUCAUUGGUCUUUCAAAAUUACUUAUGAGAAUUUCUCUUAUAGAAGCAUCAACAAUAAAGUGCCGACCAAAUCGGAAGAUAGGUAAAUCACUUGCUAGACAUACCUUUUCAAACACGUUGGGAGAGCAUGAUGGUUGCGUUACUUGAACGAUAGGUUGUUCCUCUUUCGAAUAGCUCCCCAACACCUUGUCAUCCUGUUUUUCUAGAAUAGAUUCAGCAUACGUAAUAUUUGAUUCGGUCUUUUCAAUAGCCGAAUUAACUUUGUUAUCCGAAUCACCAUCUUUUUUGAUAAUUUUAUCAACACCCAAUGCUUUCUCUUUUUGACAUAAUCUAGCUUGAAUUGCAGCAGAAUUAAUAGGCUUUCCCUCUUUUAUUAAUUCAUGUAGAACAACAUUGCAUUCGUCCCAAAAAGACGUAAGAUUUUUCUUAAUGUCCCAAUCUGGAUAGAAUUGCCCCCCGACACUUUUAGACUCUUUUGGUAACGAGAUGUCACCAAAAUUAUGUAAUUUUGCAAGGGAAACAUUGUAUGCUACGAUACUAGGUGAAGACACAUGUGAUCCUAUAGAAUUUUCACUUAUUCGGCUAUUAGCGUGAAGGUGCGAAGCCGAAUUAUGAAUACCCAUAGUUGCAUAUGGUGCCAAACAAUUAGUAGCAUGAGGUGUAGCAUAUGACAAUUGAGGGUAAUUGGCCGGAUAACUAGUAGUAGCAUGGCCAAUUCCCGUAUCCACCGGCAUGUUUUGAUUAACAUAUUGCAAGCUAGUUGCCGAUGAAUAAAAAAGUGAAACACUUUGUUGCAUACUAUCAGAAGUUCCUAUGUGAAGUGUUUCAACUUGAUUAACGGAACUCAUCAUGUUGUUCAUCGGCAUAUGGAUUUGUGGGGCUGCCGAUGCAUGGGAGUUCGUAUACAUAUGUUCCAUGUUGCUAAAAUUAUAUGAGGUAGAAGCAUGGAGAUUUUGUUGCAUCGGCUCUUGCACAUAAUUAGAUGCAUGAUUGAUAAAGCUAGGGCUAGCAGAUACAUUAUGCUCAUUAAACGAUCUAGCAACAACAUAUGCAUUAUUUGCAUCUACAUAAGUGAAUUGGGUAUUCAUGUUACCUUUGUAGAUUGCAAACCCUAGAUGACGAUCUCUUCGUAGCAAGAACGGGCCGGAGACCGUUCAAAGCUUCGUCCUCAGCGGAGUCGCCAAAAAGUGUGUUUGCACACGAACACGUCACCGUGUACCCUCGACGCCCGGGGUGAUGCACCGCAGCUCACGUCGAAGGAGACCCGUCCGGAAGCGCGGUACACAGGCAAUCCGGCGGGCGCUUUUGUUGAACCGAAACCCCACACGCCCGGGAGGGACCCCGUCAGGGCGCACGGCGGCUAUGGGCUGCCCUAGGUCGACUUGAUCGCCCCUAGGGCCUCGAGGUUCGCCGCCCUGCAACAAGAAGAACAGACGCAGAACGAGGAAGAAGAAGAACUAGGGUUAAGGAGAAAAAAUAAAAGAUAAAAAGUGGUAGAUGAUUUGUUUGAUUGUGUGUUGUUCAAUCGGCCUUCACCCCUUAGGUAUAUAAGAGGCGGCUGGACUUCCCGUGCAAGGAAAAGGCUUGGAUUCACGUCCAAACCCUAGUCAAAUUCGGAUUGGUUUUGUCCGAACUUUCCAAAACUGUUCGGUUUAAACUGACUGCACAUUGCGGAUAAUUUUUGAGGUGGUAAACGACGUCGGAUGGAAACGGGCCCAAAAUCAAUCUUGAACCUUUCAACGAGACGAACAAUUUUUAUGUUGAACACUUUUAGAUCUGAGAUCGUCUUCAAUGGCUAAUUGCUCGUGCAUUGUAUCAGAUAUCCAUCAACAUGUGUCUGAUGUCCAGCGUAAUAUAUUGAUCCCUAGCUGGUCCGCACCAUAUUGACUGUAACUUUUGCAUACGAACUCGCAUUGAGAUUAUUUAUAUAUGAAAAUCGAUCGCCUCGACGAUACGAAGACAAUUCCUUUAGAGUGCUCCUUCAUCCGAGGCCAUCUUGAGGGUGUAAUCAGCCGAAUAGUGUUCUAGAUACAAAAUCUCAGUACUUCGAACACAAUUUCGGCCUUAGAGAUGAGACCGGAUGGCUAUGACCCAAAUAUCAAAGUUUCUCCUUUUGACGAUACGGAACUUCCUCACUUUGAGCACUUUUCCAUUUAAGGCCUUCUUAAUUAUAUUUUCGAUCAUGCCAAAAUCUGAUGUCAACAGGAGUACCAGGAUUGAUGCAUAGAAGUAAUCAAAUGAAUAGUUCCAUUUGUUGGGCAUUCUGAUGCAGUACUUCUCUGAUGCCUGUCAUUAUCAAUUAAAUGUGAAAACAGGAAAAUUAGCAACAUUCGUACAGUUUGUGAGUGCAUUGAUCAAUUGCUCUAGUGGAUUUCAUCAGAAAAGAUAAUACCUUAAUGAACAGCAACGCAAUGUAUAUCAAGCCAACCUCGCUGCUGAUGCCGGUUGGGUACCUGCAGACAUCCAGGUUCGACUCGAUGUAAUAAUUUAUUCUUUACAUAAUCAUAAUGUUGCGCUGACUUACAAUCUGCAACCUUAUGCCGAGUUAAGCCUAGUAGCAGUGUAGUGUAGCCUCACCUAGGCCAUAGAAGCUUUGAUGGGGCAGAUCAGAACAGCUCUUUUGUGCUGAAAAAAGGGUACUUAUAAUCUGCAUUGUAAUAUUGAACACUAGAGUAACUAACUAAGUCUUCAAAAGCUGCAGAAUUUACCAUUUGUUCAUAUCAAUCAUGUAAUCAGCACAUUUUCACAAACCGUAGACCAUAUCCAUGACUUUGGCAACCUAUAAACUCAAUCUAUAUAAGUACCUACUAUUAAAGGGAGGAAGAUUUCUUACUUCUACUUUAAUUACCCCUUUAUAUCUGUUGAUUUUGUGUUAAUCAUAAAAAUUGACCGCUGAGGUAAGAGAUCUGCUUGGUUUUUCCACCCGGUUUUUCCCUCAUCGAUUUCCCCAUUCAUUAGGCCUCCUAUUGUGUAAUCUUGAAAAAAAAAGAAAAAGAAACCUCCACGAUCUAUUCUUUACGGAUCUCCAAAGAAACUCCACACCCUCCCUACUGUACCNNNNNNNNNNNNNNNNNNNNNNNNNNNNNNNNNNNNNNNNNNNNNNNNNNNNNNNNNNNNNNNNNNNNNNNNNNNNNNNNNNNNNNNNNNNNNNNNNNNNNNNNNNNNNNNNNNNNNNNNNNNNNNNNNNNNNNNNNNNNNNNNNNNNNNNNNNNNNNNNNNNNNNNNNNNNNNNNNNNNNNNNNNNNNNNNNNNNNNNNNNNNNNNNNNNNNNNNNNNNNNNNNNNNNNNNNNNNNNNNNNNNNNNNNNNNNNNNNNNNNNNNNNNNNNNNNNNNNNNNNNNNNNNNNNNNNNNNNNNNNNNNNNNNNNNNNNNNNNNNNNNNNNNNNNNNNNNNNNNNNNNNNNNNNNNNNNNNNNNNNNNNNNAUAGCAAAGUGGCAGUGCUUGAUCCCCGGAGCAGCGGCUUCGGUCAUGGCGGUGGCGGCAUCCCCUCCGCUAGGGAUGACGUGCCAGGGGUGGUGGGUCCUUGUGGCGACAUCGGUGAUGGCGGAUCUUGGGAUCCCGCUCCCAGGGACGUUGUAGGACGCGCGUGGCGGCCGGAGCUUCCCCCACGUUGACGGCGCUGGAUGCAGGAUCACGGCGAUUGUUGUCGUCGUAUGGGCAACGACAGCGGCUGGCGCGACGGUGGGUACUCCCUAUAGUGCCCGGAAUCAGGUCGACAACCCCUCUUCAUCAACGGCGGCGGACUCCGGGAUCGUGCGGACGAUUCGGAGUCUGGAUCUCGAGGUGGUGAUGGCCUUCUGAGGCUGGUGGCGAUAUGGGACGUCCCUUCCAUCAACGGAUCGGAUUCGAUGCGGCUCGGCAGGUGAUACAUGUGCAUCUUUCGGAGUUGUCGGGCGGUGCCUGUCGCCGGCAGGUGAAGCCACCGGUGGAUGUGCUACCAGCGAAUGCUACGCACAACGGCUUAUAUGGAGACGUCAAGUCAUGCUUUGCUACCGGCAGGUAAUGCACGGUGGCUCUAGCGGAGGUGUCAUGUUUAGCCUGUGGCUGUCAGAUCAAAGUGGUGCGACAGUAGCGGGAGGCAAGCGGUAUGGGAUAUCUUUGUCUUUUGUUCUCUCCUCCGGAGGUAUCCGGCUAUCGAGGUGCCGGUAGACGGAUAAGGGCGGAUGGUACAGACGGGUUCAGCGACGAGUUUAUGCACUCCGGUGGAAACACAAGAUCUCUGAUCAGACUUUGUCGUCGCACGCCUGUGUCGUGUCUUACUGAAGGUGGUGGAUUGAAGCUUGGUUUUGUGGAUGAGAAUCCGGAGUUCAACCUUGUGGUGGACCCGCCAUCAUUGGUGCACAUGCGGCGAUUCCUUCUUGAAGGCAUAGCUUAGGAGUUGUGUAUUUUUCGGUUAUGUUGUAUCUUGUAUCAUAGGGACUAGUGGCUAUCUGGGGAGGCAUUGUCGCGAGGUAUACGACCUCAGGGUUUGUUUCCCGCUUUAUUUUCGGGUCCAUUGUGUUCAGCUGCUGGAUUUUGCACUAUUAAUAAUAUAUGGCUGCAUGCAUCGUCCUGAUGCAGAGACCGGGGUUAUCCCCUUUUCAAAAAAAAAAAACAUAAACAACUCCCGACAGGUUGCCGAGAAGAACUCCACGAUAUCCUUUUUGCUUUAAGUUCGACACCCCUUAUCAUGGAGAUUAGAGAACCCCUGCUCCACAUCAUCGAGGUUCGAGGGUCCCAUACUGCCACAUUUACAAUAGAAUCAAUUCGGAAAUAUGGUGUGAUCUACAUAUAGCAGUCUCUUCCUCUUCUAUGAACAUGAUCCUCCUUGAGAUUCCGAAUCUUGAAUCCCAUCAGACCACCUAUCCAGCAUGUCAUAGGACGAAUUUACCUCACGAUGGUUGACAGCGACGAAGGCAUCUAUGUUCUUAUCGAUCUGUGUGUGCAAGAUUGAUCUGAAGAAGGGGCGGUGAUGCUGGUCCACGACUUGGCCGGUAAAACCUGCGAAGUGCUGCUGCCUAAUGCGAGACGCCGGCCUGAUGUUGAAGCAGGUCCUGAUGUCUUUUGCUCACCGAAGUACUGUCCUGGCAAGCUCCGGCUGAUACUUUUGGCCACGGUAGACUGAUAUACGAUACGAGAGACGCACAAAUACUCGAAAGCAGGCCAGAUAGAUGGAGUUUUAUGAGGCUGGCACAAGCACACACGGUUACAGCAUGUAACGUGAUAUUUUCUCCGGUCAAAAGCACCUGGCAGCGACGGGAUCAUAUAUUGCAGUGUAGAAAUUAUAGGAUGCCUGAAUUGUUGUAUUAUUGAUUGACCCUCGUAUUGUAAGCGGCGAUGGAUCGAUUCGGAGGUUAUGCUGUCAUGCAUGUUGGGAGAAAACCUCCAUAGCCUCCUGCUCUAACCGCGUACAUACCAUCUUGAACAACGGUUGGUGCUCCGGUCGUUGUAUAGUAGACCACAGACAAAGCAAGUGCGUACACCGGAAAAUAACCUGCAGAGGAGAAGCAUUUUUGUCAUUAAAACCAAAUCAUUUCUACAUAGCCAAAGCGACCAAAGUAAGGCCUACGCUCACAUCUUUAUUAGCGUUUUGAAACUAUUUGGAAUACGAUCUAACCCAUGACCAAAUAUAUUGGCAACACUUGAGGACGGAUACAAAUUUGACACUAUUUGGAUGACUGACCAUGUAGAACAUGCAAAUUUGCAUUGGAAAAAGUGGUGUUUGAUGUCUCGUCAUGAGCACAAAAGUAACACUUCUUCCCUAACCAGUUGAGAUUGUCUUUGAUUAGCAUAACUCCCCUAUGAAGAUACCACAUAAAGAUUUUAACUUUUAGUUAAAUCUUUGAGUUUCAAAAUUUCUUGUUAUUAGUCAGAAGAUGACUGACUAACGGGCUUAUAUUUUUUUAUUAAAAAGUGCUUUCGAAAUAAUUGAUGUCAAAGGAACAUGAUACGAUUGCCAACAGGUGAAAAUUGAAUGAGGAAUAACCGAAGGAAAUCAAUCUCCAGGGAGCAGAUUGUAUGUAAUCUUAAAAAGGUUAAACGCAAAGGCGUCAUUUCUAUAUGAAGAAUGGGCUGCGUCAGAGUAGAUUAACUUGUAGGUUCGAGUGGUUAGCUAGGUGACUUGAAUACAAAGCUUCCUUCUCCUCCUUCAAGAAAGAAAGUUAGGGUUCGUGUCUCUCGCCGGCACCGUCGCACGUCCGCCUCGUCUCCGGUGGCCCUAGGGCCAUGGAGGCGUGAUGGAUCCUGGCAAGGGCUGGCGGGAGGGCUCCGUUUUUAGUUUUUUUUUUUUUCAAUCUUGUUAGGGUUUGUGUCCUGCUCAAGGAGGCGAGACGGUGGCGGCUCCCUGAAGAUGGAAUAAAGGUCUCCCCGUCUAGCCCCCAUUCCGACGGUGCGUCUAGCAUCGUUGGUGGGCGUGUGGAGGUGUGUCUCCGGCAGAUCUAUCUUUGGUGGGUUUGCUCGGAUCUCGUCGUUGUUUGUCUACAUUGGCGUGUCUUUGGUUUGGAUCCUUCCGGUCUACGUUAUUCUUCAUCGGCGGCAGUUGCUGUUCUGGGGUGCUGGUCCUAUGUGGCCUUAGCACGACGACUUCCCGACUGUCUACUACAACAAGUUGUGCCCGACUCUGGCGAUGGAGGGGCGAUGACGGCGGCGCGCCUUCGACUCGCUUCAGUGCUUGUAGUUGUCGCUAGGUGGUCUACGGAUCUGGAUGUAAUUUUUAUUUCUGGUGUUCGUUGUACUGCCAUGAUUGAAGAUGAAUAGAUUGAAAGUUUUCCCGCAAAAAAAGGUUCUAGUGGUUAGCUAGACUCCUGCCAAUGCCGAAGGAAGGUCCUUGGUUCAAGUUCUAGGUGAAUCUAUCUGUUUUCAUAUCUUUUUCCCCCAUAUGCGCUUUGGUUUGUGAAAAAAUGGCAAAUUUGCAAAUAUAUUCCUAUGAAAAUAGUAAGUUCACGACCGGUCUAGGGAGCGUUGACGUGGCAUCCACGCAGCUGGUUUUUUCUCUUUCGUAUAGGUUUUGGCCUUAUUUGAUGAAAUUCAUGAGCUUAGGACCUAAAUUGAUCAUUUUUCGAGUCAUUGUUCUAGAGCAUGCAAUUAAUUUGAGUUAAUGGACAACCAGAACGUUUAACUGUUCUUCAACAUCAACACCUUUAUGAAGGAAACGGCGCUCAAGCACUGCCGUUACCGUAUCAAACCACCAAACGUGGAUUCUAGGUUUUCAUCAUGAAGAACAGGUAUGAGCAUAGGCAAGGAAUGCCUUCAACAAGAUAGUGAGACAAAAACAUCGUCGAUGCCAGGUAUAACUAUACGAGUCUGACCUAUACUUUACACCCCGAAGAUUGAGACCUGAUGCUUUAGAAGCACCAUCAAGUGGAAGUCGAUCUUGUGUUGUCGCCGUCGAACCGGACAAAGUGAGACCCGCUAAAACCCACAUAGCAGCCUUUGGGCUUCAUCCCGCAAGGUUGCACCUCAAUAGUGACCUGCACGGUGCCCUCCACAACAAAGACAAAUUGGGACACCGGCAGCCAGCCGGACCCGUCCACCAUCAGAUCCGGGUGACAUGGGCGGCUAAACAGUAGUUCAUCAGUCCCAACCAUCCGCUGCCAUCUCCGGAAGGGGACACCGCAGCCACGUGGAGUGGAUGCCACGCCACCAGCUUGACGAGAAGACGACCAUCGGGAGUAGCCGCCUUAUCCACGCCAUACUAGGCCGCCUUAUCCACGCCACCAACUUGCAACUGGACCAUAGUCAUUUUCUUCAUUAGUUGCAAGUUGAGGAUGUACUUGGAACUGACCUGAAUCUUUUUCCGCCUUAGUUGCAAGUCCACCAUAGACUCGUAACUAGACACUGGCUCGUAACUAGACACUGGCUUUUCUCGUCCUAGUUUAAAGUUAACCAACGACUCACAACUAUACAUGUUCCUUUUUUUAUCCCAGUUGCAAGAAAACUAUAUCGACACACAACUGGGCUCUUAAUCUUUUUUUGUCACAAUUUCUAGUCAACCAAUGACUCGCAAAUAGGCCCGAUCCAUUUUCUUUCCCAGUUGUAUGUCCAUCAUUGGUAUGCAAUUGGGCCUUUGAUCUUUUUUGCCCCCAGUUGCAUGUCCAUUCUUGACUUGCAACCAGGCCAGACUUUUUUUAAUCUCCGGUUACAAGUCCACCCAUCAGCUCACAACUGGGCUCAAUGUUUGUUUUGUUUUGCAACUGGGCCUGCCUUCUUUCUCCAUUAUUUGCAAGUCAACUAUUAACUUGCAACUGGGUUUGACAUUUGUUUCGCCAUAGUUGCAUGUCCACCAUCAGACUCACAACUAGGUAUUGACUUUUCUUGUCCUAGUUGCAAGUUAACCAUCGACUGGCAACUCGGCCCGCCCCUUUAUUAUCCCAGUUGCAAGAUAGCCAUCGAUCAAACUGGGUCUUGAUCGUUUUCUUUGCCGGAGUUGCAACUCAACCAACGACUUGUAACUGGGCCCAAAGUUUUUUUGUCCUAGUUGCAAGUCCUCCAUUGACAUGAAACUGGGCCCAAAGUUUUUUGUCCUAGUUGCAAGUCCUCCAUUGACAUGAAACUGGGCCUUUGAUCCUUUUAGUUGCCCUAACUACAAGUCCACUCUCGACUUGUAAUUGUGCCUAACGUUAACUUUACCCAAUUGCAGGUCCAACAUUGACUCACAACUGGGCCCGACCCUUUUUAUUAUCUCAGUUGCAAGUCUAUCAUCGACCCGCAGCCGUGUCGACCAUUUAUAUUUGUCUGAGUUGCAAGUCCAUCAUUGACAUGCAACUAGUCUCUUUCGUCGUUUUUUCUUCCUUUGCAAGUCCAUUAUUUGACUCACAACUGGGCCUGAAUUUUUUUGCCUCAGUUCCAAGUCCACCAUCCCCUCGUAAAUAUGGCCGAUUUAUUUUUUGCCUCUUACGUGACUAAGUCGAGCUACAUACUGGCACUAGCAUAUAUACAAGGCAAAGAUAUAAAGGUAUGCACGAUGAUCAGCGCAUACAAAUACGCACUAAAAAUCUAAAAAGGUUCACCAUACACUAAAGAAAAGUUUAGUUUGUUAAAGGAAAUGUUCAGCGUAUAUUAAAAAUAGUUCACCACACACUAAAAAAGUUCAGUUUGUAUAUAGGAAAUGUUUCGAAUGUUCAAAACAUGUUACCAUUUUCAAAAAUUGUUCACGAACUCAAAAAAACAUAUUUUGAUAAAAAUAUCAGGUUUUCAAAAAAUGUAUGUGAAUUUCAAAAAGUGUUCUCAUUUUCAAAAUGUGUUCAUGUUUUGAGAAAAUGUUCAGAAUUUUCAAAAAUUAUUCCCAUUUUCAAAAUUAUUCACAAAUUUUCACUCAAUGUUGGAAAAGGUUUCAGAUCUGACAAUUCAUUGAGUUAUUAAAAAUGCGCAUUGAUAAUUUGCCACCAACAGCUAUUUGUUCUUGUGGCUACAAAUACACGUUUAGUAGUCUGAGGUUGGAAGUUUGAUUCUUGAUUAGAGUGCUUUUUUACGUCUUGUUCCCAGAAGCUGGGUUGGGCAAUACAAAAAAGAAAAAAAAAAGAACAAAGAAAUAAUAAAACAGCGGCUGGCUGGACAAUAAGAAAACCAAACAGUGGGAGGAAGUUUUCAACAAGGGGCCACAAAUAGGGGUGACGUCAUUUUAGAUGCAAAACUACUACAUGAAGGACAGUUUGCCAGACGAACUAUGCACGAUGGAGGAUUGAUGGUGCUGUCUAGGUGUGCAGUACGCACGGACGGCUUGAUGAGAUGCGUCGUCCGGAAAUCGUUUUCAGACUGUCGUGUGUAUAGCAUCUUUUUAAAUGUGACAUAUUAUGUUACAUCUAGAUGAGACAUAAUCACACCAUAGAUUUUGUAUAGCAUCUCUUUUGUCAGGUACUAGUUUUGUUUGGAUUGUAACUGACCCACGUUUCUAGCUAACGGAAAUCCAACUGAACCACUAAAAGAUCAGAAGAAUAUACUCCCUCCGUUUUUAAAUAUUUGUCUUUCUAGAGAUUUCAAUAAAUGACUACAUACGGAGCAAAAUGAGUGAAUCUACGCUCUAAAAUAUGUCUAUAUACAUCUGUAUGUGGUAGUCCAUUUGAAAUCUCUAAAAAAACAAAUAUUUAGGAACGGAAGGAGUACGUACCAUUGAAGGAAGCGUACGUGCACUGGGCAACCAGGUUCGUUUUGAAUCGGAGAGCCCAAUCCGGUCCGAUCGAUCAUCGACUAGCUAGCUUGACCGAUCGAUCAAUGGCGUCGUCGUGUCCACCAUGGUCCGAGCUCCCGGGUGACAUCCUAGGCCCUCCUCAUCGACCGCCUCCUGACCGCCACCGGCCACCGCCGCAGCUUCAGGUCGCCGGUGUGGCUGCUACGGACGCUUCAAAACAGCCUGGCUCGCUUCCGCGCGUCGUGCUCCUCCCACCACCGCAUGGCGGGACCACCGCCUCUCCUCCUUACCCGAGGACGCGACGUGCAUUGGUUCCACCGAUGACUGGAUCGCCCUCCGUUGCGUCGUCGUCAACAAUGCCUCCAAAACGAAUAGCUACCUCUUGCACAAUCCUUUCUCCGAGAUGACCGUGCCGCUCCCUGAGCUAGACACUCUUAUCAGUAAUAAUGCAUCCCUGUUUUUCGAGGUCCGCAAGGUGCUCAUGCGGUCAACCCCGCAUGACGUUGCCGCUCUUAUGACCAACAACUACAAUUGCCCUAUCAACCUGGGGAAGGGUGUGUGGCUGCCGCGGCCACGAUCGGCUCCCUUCGUCUACAUCAUUGACAUCGUCUUCAUCGGAGAUAGGCUCUAUGGGAUCACCAAGGCGGACGACCUCAUAUCCCUCGAUAUCGCUUUCGGCGCCGACGGUACACCCAUCGUUACUAGAGCCAAGCGUGUCAUAAGGCACCCGUCCAAGGCCGGUGAUCGUUCUGACGUGUGGAGCAACAUCGACGUCUUCCGUGUGUGGCCAUACCCAUCGCUUGAUGAUGGCUAUGACUUGUGGAGCGAUGUUGAUGAGAAAUACCACAAAUAUGUUGCCAAGGAUAAGAGUGAACAAGAUGGUGAAACUCUAAACGGAGAACAUGACAAAGGCCGUUCACGAUAUGCGAUGACAGAGAACACCGGCAUCCACUCGAUUAGCGAAGACAUCUACUAUGACAAAUCUGAUGACCUCUUCAUCACUACCUCGCAGAUCGUCGAGUCACUUGGGAAGUUGCUCAUGGUGAGACGGAAAUUGCAUCAACCCCCGCAUAGCUACACCUGCAGCUCAGAUGUGUACGAGGCCGACAUCACCAGGGGGGCAUGGGUGCCAGUAACGAAUGGACUACAUGGCCAGGCACUCUUCAUCAGCAGAUACUUUUGCAAGUCCAUUCAUGCAUGUGGAGAGGUAGAGAAGGAUGCAGUCUAUUUUGCCCACACGGGCGAGGUGGUCCGCAUGAGAUCCAAGAUCAUAAGCCGGCCACAGAGAGAUCUUUUUUUCAGAUGUACGACGUGGCUCUUCCCCCCAGAGCCAGUUGUCUAUACAAUAUAGGAGCUUUGAUAUAUUAUACAGUACUAGUAAAGAUGUCAGUUAUUGCCUGCAAUUCUUUCAAUGUGUUCGUAACGGUAUUAGUUAUAUAAUUUUAGUAAUUACUACUCCCUCCGUUUAUAAAUGCAGAUGUAUAUAGACAUAUUUUAGAGUGUAGAUUCACUUAUUUUGCUGUGUAUGUAAUCUGUAUUGAAAUCUCUAAAAAGGCUUAUAUUUAGGAACGGCGGGAGUAUAUGUUUGUGGUAUUCCUUCUGCACCUCGGAAAUAUUGUUCAAAAUAAGUGUAGACAUCUGGUAGGUACAUUUUGGCUUUCAGCAAGGUUUACGGCAAAAAAAAAAUUGCUGGUCAUUACUGUUUAGACGUUGUAUCUAGCAACCAAAUGCUAAUUCAGCAACAACCACAUCUACAUGACACAAGAGUUUGAUGAUCCUAAACACAGCUGGUGCCGAACAAGGACAUACUUUUGAUUUUCUGACAUAAAUGAGAAAAAACACAAUGAUAUGCCACCAAAUCUUGUAAGAAGCAUCAAUAAGUUAC